Molecule: transfer RNA, 75 nt
Filed under: Alphaproteobacteria bacterium
Lineage: Bacteria; Pseudomonadati; Pseudomonadota; Alphaproteobacteria
Description: tRNA-Val
Rfam family: tRNA
About the family: Transfer RNA (tRNA) molecules are approximately 80 nucleotides in length. Their secondary structure includes four short double-helical elements and three loops (D, anti-codon, and T loops).
Source: RNAcentral
GAGCGCAUAGCUCAGCGGUAGAGCACUACCUUGACAUGGUAGGGGUCACAGGUUCAAUCCCUGUUGCGCUCACCA